This 496-nucleotide ribosomal RNA is filed under the name uncultured bacterium. RNAcentral describes it as "partial 16S ribosomal RNA". It matches the Rfam family "Bacterial small subunit ribosomal RNA", at positions 28 to 506 of the family's 1533-position model. The record is from RNAcentral.
GACGAACGCUGGCGGCGUGCCUAAUACAUGCAAGUUGAGCGAUGAAGCUUGGUGCUUGCCCCAAUUUGAAGAGCAGCGAACGGGUGAGUAACGCGUGGGGAAUCUGCCUUUGAGCGGGGGACAACAUUUGGAAACGAAUGCUAAUACCGCAUAACAACUUUAAACAUAAGUUUUAAGUUUGAAAGAUGCAAUUGCAUCACUCAAAGAUGAUCCCGCGUUGUAUUAGCUAGUUGGUGAGGUAAAGGCUCACCAAGGCGAUGAUACAUAGCCGACCUGAGAGGGUGAUCGGCCACAUUGGGACUGAGACACGGCCCAAACUCCUACGGGAGGCAGCAGUAGGGAAUCUUCGGCAAUGGACGAAAGUCUGACCGAGCAACGCCGCGUGAGUGAAGAAGGUUUUCGGAUCGUAAAACUCUGUUGGUAGAGAAGAACGUUGGUGAGAGUGGAAAGCGCAUCAAGUGACGGUAACUACCCAGAAAGGGACGGCUAACUACGU